ACUUUAACUCAACGUCUCACAGCUAGCUAAGCUAGGCUGGUGGAAUCAACUGACUCACUCCCUCUUUGGUUGCCUAGCAACAAAAUGCUGGGUAAGAAGCAGUUUCAUUUGACAAACUAAGCCUUCAGAAAUAAAAAAUAAAAAUAAAAAAAGAAAGCAGCGGAUUGAGGGGGUGUGAGCUUCACACAAGAUGUGCUAAAAACAAAACCUGAUGGUUGCGGACGCCGCAAAGCUGCGGAAGUUGCGCCGGGCGAAGGGAGGUGAUCAGUUUAUCCCAACUGUAAAUAAUUUAAAUAGUUAAAUAGAUAGUCUGACAUGUGCAGUAAAGUGGCUGCUGACACAACGUGACUUCUUACGUGACGACAUAAGGCUGCUGUGCGGGCGGGUUUGAUGCCUAUCACGUGUGGACGGACGUCAUAAAGUCAGGGUCUUUAUUUGCUCGUUCUCUUUCCCUAAACGUCACUUCACACUCGUUCCUUGCAGAGCCGGUUGUUGUAGCAGAAAACCUAAAUCUUAACUUCAAACCUGAGGAAUAAUCAUGCCAAGUAGACAGAGUUUGCCAUCCGUAGAGACCCAGACCGUCACCGUGGAAGC
Xiphophorus couchianus (Monterrey platyfish) is the source of this 594-nucleotide long non-coding RNA. RefSeq lists it as uncharacterized. The transcript has 4 exons. The record is from RefSeq and is a predicted model, not a curated record. NCBI's taxonomy places the organism in Eukaryota, Metazoa, Chordata, Actinopteri, Cyprinodontiformes, Poeciliidae.